RNAcentral lists this ribosomal RNA (396 nucleotides) under uncultured Rhodocyclaceae bacterium. RNAcentral describes it as "bacterial SSU rRNA". It matches the Rfam family "Bacterial small subunit ribosomal RNA", at positions 987 to 1382 of the family's 1533-position model. The record is from RNAcentral. Lineage: Bacteria; Pseudomonadati; Pseudomonadota; Betaproteobacteria; Rhodocyclales; Rhodocyclaceae.
UGUCCGGAAUCCCGAAGAGAUUUGGGAGUGCUCGCAAGAGAACCGGAACACAGGUGCUGCAUGGCUGUCGUCAGCUCGUGUCGUGAGAUGUUGGGUUAAGUCCCGCAACGAGCGCAACCCUUGUCAUUAGUUGCCAUCAUUUGGUUGGGCACUCUAAUGAGACUGCCGGUGACAAACCGGAGGAAGGUGGGGAUGACGUCAAGUCCUCAUGGCCCUUAUGGGUAGGGCUUCACACGUCAUACAAUGGUCGGUACAGAGGGUUGCCAACCCGCGAGGGGGAGCUAAUCCCACAAAGCCGAUCGUAGUCCGGAUCGCAGUCUGCAACUCGACUGCGUGAAGUCGGAAUCGCUAGUAAUCGUGGAUCAGCAUGUCACGGCGAAUACGUUCCCGGGUCUU